GGGGAUUUAGCUCAGUGGUAGAGCGCUUGCCUAGGAUGCGCAAGGCCCUGGGUUCGGUCCCCAGCUCCG
Molecule: non-coding RNA, 69 nt
Organism: Rattus norvegicus (Norway rat)
Lineage: Eukaryota; Metazoa; Chordata; Mammalia; Rodentia; Muridae
Source: Rfam